AUGAGAACCGUACUGGAGUCUUUUAAGCAGCUUUGUAGGCCUGCAGAGCUCCCCUGCUACCCAGGGAGCUUGGCUUCCAGCAGCUAUGCCCCAUUCAUCACCUGCUUUCAAUGGCCACUACCAAGCCGCCUUCAGCUACAACACCAGCAGGGGAGGAGAGCUCCAGCAGCGGCCAAGGUCAUCGUCUCCAGCUCGGUAGGAGUCGGAGGCGAACGAACAGCCGGACCCCGCUGCCCCACCCUCCCACAAACACACCCCUGUUGAGAUACUGGCAAGUUGUCAUGACGACAGGGAUGUUCUGCUGAUGAAGUCUCGCUCAGCGUCGUCCAAUCAGAUCGUGGGGCUACAACCGCAGCGCGAACAGGGGAGGACGCACCUAUUCCAGUUGCACAAUGCUAUGAAGGGACAAGCGAAACCCUGGACCACCAACGGGAAAUUGGCAAACCAGAGGAGGCUGUCAAUGGGCCGCCAUGGGUCGACAAUACGCAAAACAGCGGGGGUCGUGGAUACAAGGGCUGCCAGGUAGGGGGUCUCCACCAUGUCCGCAGCACUUUUAUUUUGGAUUUGCGGCUACUAUUAAUACAAAUAUAAAUGCAUUAUUUAUUUUCAUUGUUGGCUUGAAUCUUUUGGGACCGACAUUGAUGUAGGUUGUAUGUGUUUCGGGAUGUUGGCUGUAGCUGCUUCAGGUGCACUUUUACCAAAAGCAAAUCACUCCUGCAGGUGGUUCUUACUAAUCUGCAACAGCCAUGAGAACCAAAAGAAAGAGAGGAGAAGAGUCAGGUACCGUUAACUUUUGUCAUAUGGAUAUCAUUCCAGGACGUGGACAAAAGGCUAAAACGCAGAAACUGUAGGACCCAAAGUAAAAAAACUCUCUUGGUGUUAGUAUGACGCGGGCCUUUUAUUCCAAACCAUGGGGGACAUUUUCUUUUCUUUUGUUUUCUUUUUUUUUUUUUUGCUGGAUGACCAGAGGAGGAACUGAGCCCAUGAAAUUAUUGCUAUCAACUGUUAUAUUGAGGUUUAAGUUUCUGCAUGUGCUUUUUUCAAUGGCGCCUUUUCGCACCCUACUCUCUUUACCCCAUCAGUUCAGUCCUUGUCUCUGUGGAAUGCCAUUCGAUAGACUGAUCCCAAGGAGAGUUGGUGUCUGACUCUUCAAACUUCACAAUAAAUUUAGUUUGUCAGCAUGAUAAAACCA
RNAcentral lists this long non-coding RNA (1192 nucleotides) under Betta splendens (Siamese fighting fish). RNAcentral describes it as "lncRNA (ENSBSLG00000017305.1)". The record is from RNAcentral. Lineage: Eukaryota; Metazoa; Chordata; Actinopteri; Anabantiformes; Osphronemidae.